GACGAACGCUGGCGGCGUGCCUAAUACAUGCAAGUUAAGCGCUGAAGGUUGGUACUUGUACCAACUGGAUGAGCAGCGAACGGGUGAGUAACGCGUGGGGAAUCUGCCUUUGAGCGGGGGACAACAUUUGGAAACGAAUGCUAAUACCGCAUAAAAACUUUAAACACAAGUUUUAAGUUUGAAAGAUGCAAUUGCAUCACUCAAAGAUGAUCCCGCGUUGUAUUAGCUAGUUGGUGAGGUAAAGGCUCACCAAGGCGAUGAUACAUAGCCGACCUGAGAGGGUGAUCGGCCACAUUGGGACUGAGACACGGCCCAAACUCCUACGGGAGGCAGCAGUAGGGAAUCUUCGGCAAUAGACGAAAGUCUGACCGAGCAACGCCGCGUGAGUGAAGAAGGUUUUCGGAUCGUAAAACUCGGUUGGUAGAGAAGAACGUUGGUGAGAGCGGAAAGCUCAUCAAGUGACGGUAACUACCCAGAAAGGGACGGCUAACUACGUG
This 497-nucleotide ribosomal RNA is filed under the name uncultured bacterium. RNAcentral's name for it is "partial 16S ribosomal RNA". It matches the Rfam family "Bacterial small subunit ribosomal RNA", at positions 28 to 507 of the family's 1533-position model. The record is from RNAcentral.